Molecule: unclassified non-coding RNA, 806 nt
Filed under: Frankliniella occidentalis (western flower thrips)
Lineage: Eukaryota; Metazoa; Arthropoda; Insecta; Thysanoptera; Thripidae
Description: partial miscellaneous RNA
Source: RNAcentral
CCGUAUUCUUGCGAAAGCAAAGUAUUACGAUAAAAGAAACGAAACGAUACGACUGUCARAGUACCGCUCGAGGCGCGCGGGUAACGGCUGUAUGGCCUCUGCGCGCCGAUGGUUUUAUGUCGUAAAAAUCCACUACGUUCCCGAGUUUGUGAUUGCGCCUCGGAGAGGGACGGCCCCCGACAGGGAGAGAGAGAUGCGUAGGUAGGGCCACCGACACGGUCAGAGACGGUUCGAUUCCACUCGUGUCACCAGGUCCUUGCGCGCUCCUCUCUCUACUCGGCGCGGACGUCUUCUCGCCGAUUGGCUUGCCUGAUCGAACGACGGAGCAGAUGACCGGGAGAUGGCCCAAAACAGGGAGGCCAGAUGAAGUGUCGGUAUCGGACGCUAAACACCCUACAGAAGUGCGUACGCCUCGCUCGACCAGUGCUUUGAUUUCAGAGUGCGGGCGUUGCCUUCUUUGCCGGUGAGCUGAUAGUAAUGCGGCGGAGAGGCGAGAGCCUCUCCAUAGCCGCGCCGACGCGACCCGGUGGUCACAACAUACCGUCUAACCCAUGCCUCCACUCCGGUGGUGUAAAAGGCGACUUGAUGGUUUGGGAGUUUAAAACCGCGCUAACAGCGUACAGAGAUAGAGAAAAGUCACACAGAGGAAAUGAGGCGCGCACGUUGUUGUGCGUCUCAUCGACUUUUUUUUUUUUUUCGCUGGUGGACUCCAAUUUUCUUCGGAAGUAUUCCUCUUGACUGCUUGUCGCCGUACACGAGAGCUCGCUCACGCGACGCGCUCCGCCGGCUCAAAAUGUUUAAAAAAA